Etheostoma cragini (Arkansas darter) is the source of this 78-nucleotide long non-coding RNA. RefSeq lists it as uncharacterized. The transcript has 3 exons. The record is from RefSeq and is a predicted model, not a curated record. NCBI's taxonomy places the organism in Eukaryota, Metazoa, Chordata, Actinopteri, Perciformes, Percidae.
UUCACCUUAAAAUUCAUUUUUAUGCUGCACUGACUUGUAAUAGGGAGAAUGGUGUCUGGCAUUCUCACUGCGAGCCCC